This 2345-nucleotide long non-coding RNA is filed under the name Nicotiana benthamiana. Its description in RNAcentral is "long non-coding RNA (NBEN_LNC009522)". Lineage: Eukaryota; Viridiplantae; Streptophyta; Magnoliopsida; Solanales; Solanaceae. The record is from RNAcentral.
AAAGUCAUUAACACAAUCACCAAUAGAGUAGAGGCAAUCGGUCAAUUCCUGAAUCUUAGACAUAUAAGCAUCUAUAGAGAGAGAUCUCCCUUUUUAAUAGUACGUAAUUGAUGCUUGUGCUAAAUUUGCUGUGGAUUGAUGGAGAAAGUGAUCUUUUAAUGUGCUUCAAGCAUCUGCAAUAAUUUGUUGCCUGAAUCCAAGUAAGAAGUGAUCUUUUAUUCUCUUCUCUUUUUUAAUUCAAAAAUUAUUUUUUUCUAGAAACCACCCUACCACCGCUACCCUGCCACUAUUUCACCACAUUUUUGUCAUUGCAGCCUCGCAAGAAUCAAGCUACCACUAAAGUACGUUCAAUUUCAUAGAAUUGCGUCACAAAUCUUCCCCCUCCACUUACAUCUAAUUUUCUUUUAUUUUGCUUCUCCCAUUAUAAUAUAUUCUCUACAAAAAAUCUUUCUUUCUCUGAUCUUCUCCACCGUCCAGCUGCGUUAAUGGCUACUCUUCGUUCUCAUUUACUCAUUCUACCACAACUUCACCAUGCUAUAGAAGGUCAUUGUUACAUCAUACUCCAACAUAAAUGAAAGGCGAAAUAUAUAAACUGUCCCUUUAAGUUAUCUACAAUAAUCAGACAAACUGAAUCAUUUAUUAUUUAAGCACUGCAAGUAUCCAUUAACCAGAUCAAAUAAACACAUAUUGCUGAUGUGUCACAUGCAUGUUUGUUACCAAAAUUUUGAGCAUAUGAAUCAUUUUUCCAACCUAAUUUUUUUUACAAAAAAUUAAGAAUCAUGCAUAUCGGCUUGACUAACCCAAGUCAACGUCACCAUGAAACCACCAUGAAAAUUAGCCACCAAAACUCCAACAAGCCACCAAAAAUUCCAGAAAAUGUCCCUUCCAUCACAAAAUUCCACUGCUCGUAACCUCUAGAUCUCCGCCUAAUCCCUUCGAGCCAAAACUAAUUCCAAAGCCAACUGAUAAGAAUCAACAAUAGCUGCGGAAUACCACCAAAUAUCCACUCAAUAAACCUCCUCUUUCCUCUAACAACACCUUCAUUCCAAUAGAAACACACAAAUGGCAAUCAAUUAUUUGAAUCAACUGGUAAUUUUAAGGAUAAUUUUAUACCAAAACUAAUUAGAGAAGUUAAAGUGGUAUAAGCCAAAACUCAUAGUUAAGAAAAUGAUGAACAGAGAAGAGUAAAAUUUCCAGUAGAAUCAUUUCGUUCAUAUUUGCUCGGAGAUUAAUUUUCCGAUGAGAAAAGUCGUAUAAGAGGAGCUUUCUCCGACGAGUUCCGUCAAUGAUCAGUUAGUGGGAAAGGGAAGGGGUCUAAUAGGAACGACUUAUGUUUAACUUGUUGGAUGGAGGCUGGAUUUGAAGGAAGAAGAUGAAGGGGGUGGGGGGUGGCGCUGGUAUUAGGAGGAAGAAGAAGAUGAAUUUAGUUGGGAGAGCGGGGGAGGAGAGGUUGCGCUGGUUUGGUAAAAAAUUUAGGAAAAAGGCUUUUUUUGUUCUUUAAAUGCUUUUUUAAAAUUUUGAUUACAAAUUAUACGUGUUAUUUAUUAAUUGGCUCAUUUGACACGUCAUUAACGAGUAUAAUUCACGUAUAUGAUCUGUUGCACUUGCGUAUUUAUUUGAUCUGGUUAAUGGAAACUUGGAGUGCCUAAAUGAUAAAUGAUUCAAUUAAGGUGUUUCUCUGAUCGUAAUGAACAACUUAAAAGUGACGUUUAUGUAUUUUUCCUAAACGAAAAUUGUGCACAAUUCACACGACACUACACAGAAAAUUCCCCUUUUUUUUAUUCACAAUCAUCAGUACCUUACAAAAUUUUCAUUCUCAAUAUAGUACACACUCUAAUUUCACACACACACUAAAAGUUAAUACACUCAUAAAGAUAUCCAUUACUUUUGGAAGAGACCUAGUUCAUAAUUUUGGGCUCUCUUCAUCCCCAGCGCUGCCUCUAUUACACCGUCAAAAUCAACUUUCACAACAACGUUUCUUUCAUAUUUUAUUAGCCAAAGCAUAGAUCUAACAGAUUAGAAGAAAAAUUGAGAAGAAUGGAAGAAAGAAAAAAAAAUUAAAAAUAAAAAAUAAAAAGCAGAAGAGGCAAAAUUUGAAAGAAGUGAGUUUACGAGGAAAGAACGAUGGAGGACUAAGGAUUUCGACGGGACCGGAGAGGGGCUGGGAGAUCCCUUUUUUCAAAAUAGAUUUCCUUUUUCUUUAGCUAGAAUCCCCUUUAGACAAGGUGGGUUGCUCUGAUAGUAACCAGCCUCCACUUUCAACCAAGAGGUUGUGAGUUUGAGUCAUCCUAAGAGCAAGAUAGGUAAUUUUUGGAGGAAAGGAUGAUGAGGGUCUAUUUAGAAAC